AUACGGAGGGUGCAAGCGUUGUUCGGAAUCACUGGGCGUCAAGGGCGCGCAGGCGGUUUGGUAAGUCAGAUGUGAAAGCCCACGGCUCAACCGUGGAAGUGCAUUUGAAACUGUCAGACUUGAGUACUAGAGGGGAAAGUGGAAUUCCCGGUGUAGAGGUGAAAUUCGUAGAUAUCGGGAGGAAUACCGGUGGCGAAGGCGACUUUCUGGCUAGAUACUGACGCUGAGGCGCGAAAGCGUGGGGAGCAAACAGGAGUAGAAACCCUAGUAGUCC
RNAcentral lists this ribosomal RNA (274 nucleotides) under uncultured bacterium. RNAcentral describes it as "partial 16S ribosomal RNA". It matches the Rfam family "Bacterial small subunit ribosomal RNA", at positions 523 to 796 of the family's 1533-position model. The record is from RNAcentral.